AGCGAACGCUGGCGGCAGGCUUAACACAUGCAAGUCGAGCGGGCAUCUUCGGAUGUCAGCGGCAGACGGGUGAGUAACACGUGGGAACGUACCCUUCGGUUCGGAACAACUCUGGGAAACUGGAGCUAAUACCGGAUACGCCCUUAUGGGGAAAGGUUUACUGCCGAAGGAUCGGCCUGCGUCUGAUUAGCUAGUUGGUGGGGUAACGGCCUACCAAGGCGACGAUCAGUAGCUGGUCUGAGAGGAUGAUCAGCCACACUGGGACUGAGACACGGCCCAGACUCCUACGGGAGGCAGCAGUGGGGAAUAUUGGACAAUGGGCGCAAGCCUGAUCCAGCCAUGCCGCGUGAGUGAUGAAGGCCUUAGGGUUGUAAAGCUCUUUUGUCCGGGACGAUAAUGACGGUACCGGAAGAAUAAGCCCCGGCUAACUUCGUG
This 435-nucleotide ribosomal RNA is filed under the name uncultured bacterium. RNAcentral describes it as "partial 16S ribosomal RNA". It matches the Rfam family "Bacterial small subunit ribosomal RNA", at positions 29 to 507 of the family's 1533-position model. The record is from RNAcentral.